CAGGCAGUAAUUUGCUCCUUGGAGCCACAGAAAAGUUGGGAGAAAACAGCUGCGAGAUGGACUCUCCUCCAUUCUCUUCCCCAUGUCCUCCCCAGUGGAUGAAUUCCGCUCACUUUCUGAGUUAUUGUUUUUUAAUUAGAUGAUUGGAAAAAGAAGGAAGUCAUGGUGGCUCCUGGCUGGCAUCCAGCGUAGCUUGGCUAGGUGAAAGCAAAGCUGUGCUCAGUUCGUGGCGGCCUCUGGAUCUGCAUGCUCUUGUACGCACCUUUGUCACUACCUUGAGAAAGUGCCUUUUAGAGGAGGAGAGGGCACGCUAGCAGUGCUGAGUCAGCAGAGUUGUUGCAGCCCAUGCUUUAUACACAGCUGUAUCAGCAAAGCCCACCCGGCUGGGCUUGCAGCUGGCUAUGGAAGGAUGAAUGAGCAGGAGUGAACCUGGCUUCUGGAAUCGUCAGCAGCAUCUUGAACUAAAUAAAUGCCAAGCAUUGAAAGCCA
Molecule: long non-coding RNA, 489 nt
Organism: Chinchilla lanigera (long-tailed chinchilla)
Lineage: Eukaryota; Metazoa; Chordata; Mammalia; Rodentia; Chinchillidae
Exons: 2
Source: RefSeq, a predicted model, not a curated record